This 600-nucleotide ribosomal RNA is filed under the name uncultured bacterium. RNAcentral describes it as "bacterial SSU rRNA". It matches the Rfam family "Bacterial small subunit ribosomal RNA", at positions 56 to 645 of the family's 1533-position model. The record is from RNAcentral.
UGCAAGUCGAACGGAAACAGGAAGUAGCUUGCUACUUUGCUGUCGAGUGGCGGACGGGUGAGUAAUGCUUGGGAAUAUGCCAAAACGUGGGGGACAACAGUUGGAAACGACUGCUAAUACCGCAUAAUGUCUUCGGACCAAAGCAGGGGACCCUCGGGCCUUGCGCGUUUUGAUUAGCCCAAGUGGGAUUAGCUAGUUGGUAAGGUAAUGGCUUACCAAGGCGACGAUCCCUAGCUGGUCUUAGAGGAUGACCAGCCACACUGGAACUGAGACACGGUCCAGACUCCUACGGGAGGCAGCAGUGGGGAAUAUUGCACAAUGGAGGAAACUCUGAUGCAGCCGUGCCGCGUGUGUGAAGAAGGCUUUCGGGUUGUAAAGCACUUUCAGUGGGGAGGAAAGGGUUGUAGUUAAUAGCUGCAAUCUGUGACGUUACCCACAGAAGAAGCACCGGCUAACUCCGUGCCAGCAGCCGCGGUAAUACGGAGGGUGCGAGCGUUAAUCGGAAUUACUGGGCGUAAAGCGCGCGUAGGUGGUUAAUUAAGUCAGAUGUGAAAGCCCAGGGCUCAACCUUGGAACUGCAUUUGAAACUGGUUAACUAGA